CGAACGGUAACAGGAAGCAGCUUGCUGCUUCGCUGACGAGUGGCGGACGGGUGAGUAAUGUCUGGGGAGCUGCCUGAUGAGGGGGAUAACUACUGGAAACGGUAGCUAAUACCGCAUAAUGUCGCAAGACCAAAGAGGGGGACCUUCGGGCCUCUUGCCAUCGGAUGUGCCCAGAUGGGAUUAGCUUGUUGGUGGGGUAACGGCUCACCAAGGCGACGAUCCCUAGCUGGUCUGAGAGGAUGACCAGCCACACCGGAACUGAGACACGGUCCAGACUCCUACGGGAGGCAGCAGUGGGGAAUAUUGCACAAUGGGCGCAAGCCUGAUGCAGCCAUGCCGCGUGUAUGAAGAAGGCCUUCGGGUUGUAAAGUACUUUCAGCGGGGAGGAAGGGAGUAAAGUUAAUACCUUUGCUCAUUGACGUUACCCGCAGAAGAAGCACCGGCUAACUCCGUGCCAGCAGCCGCGGUAAUACGGAGGGUGCAAGUGUUAAUCGGAAUUACUGGGCGUAAAGCGCACGCAGGCGGUUUGUUAAGUCAGAUGUGAAAUCCCCGGGCUCAACCUGGGAACUGCAUCUGAUACUGGCAAGCUUGAGUCUCGUAGAGGGGGGUAGAAUUCCAGGUGUAGCGGUGAAAUGCGUAGAGAUCUGGAGGAAUACCGGUGGCGAAGGCGGCCCCCUGGACGAAGACUGACGCUCAGGUGCGAAAGCGUGGGGAGCAAACAGGAUUAGAUACCCUGGUAGUCCACGCCGUAAACGAUGUCGACUUGGAGGUUGUGCCCUUGAGGCGUGGCUUCCGGAGCUAACGCGUUAAGUCGACCGCCUGGGGAGUACGGCCGCAAGGUUAAAACUCAAAUGAAUUGACGGGGGCCCGCACAAGCGGUGGAGCAUGUGGUUUAAUUCGAUGCAACGCGAAGAACCUUACCUGGUCUUGACAUCCACGGAAGUUUUCAGAGAUGAGAAUGUGCCUUCGGGAACCGUGAGACAGGUGCUGCAUGGCUGUCGUCAGCUCGUGUUGUGAAAUGUUGGGUUAAGUCCCGCAACGAGCGCAACCCUUAUCCUUUGUUGCCAGCGGUCCGGCCGGGAACUCAAAGGAGACUGCCAGUGAUAAACUGGAGGAAGGUGGGGAUGACGUCAAGUCAUCAUGGCCCUUACGACCAGGGCUACACACGUGCUACAAUGGCGCAUACAAAGAGAAGCGACCUCGCGAGAGCAAGCGGACCUCAUAAAGUGCGUCGUAGUCCGGAUUGGAGUCUGCAACUCGACUCCAUGAAGUCGGAAUCGCUAGUAAUCGUGGAUCAGAAUGCCACGGUGAAUACGUUCCCGGGCCUUGUACACACCGCCCGUCACACCAUGGGAGUGGGUUGCAAAAGAAGUAGGUAGCUUAACCUUCGGGAGGGCGCUUACCACUUUGUGAUUCAUGACUGGGGUGAAGUCGUAACAAGGUA
RNAcentral lists this ribosomal RNA (1444 nucleotides) under metagenome. Its description in RNAcentral is "bacterial SSU rRNA". It matches the Rfam family "Bacterial small subunit ribosomal RNA". The record is from RNAcentral.